GAUGAAGAACGUAGCGAAAUGCGAUACGUAAUGUGAAUUGCAGAAUUCAGUGAAUCAUCGAGUCUUUGAACGCACAUUGCGCCCCCUGGUAUUCCGGGGGGCAUGCCUGUCCGAGCGUCAUUGCUGCCCUCAAGCACGGCUUGUGUGUUGGGCCUCCGUCCUCCUCCCGGGGGACGGGCCCGAAAGGCAGCGGCGGCACCGCGUCCGGUCCUCGAGCGUAUGGGGCUUCGUCACCCGCUCUGUAGGCCCGGCCGGCGCCUGCCGAUCAACCAAACUUUUUUCCAGGUUGACCUCGGAUCAGGUAGGGAUACCCGCUGAACUUAAGCAUAUCAAUAAGCGGAGGA
RNAcentral lists this unclassified non-coding RNA (344 nucleotides) under soil metagenome. RNAcentral describes it as "partial contains 5.8S ribosomal RNA, internal transcribed spacer 2, and large subunit ribosomal RNA". The stretch from base 1 to 120 matches the Rfam family "5.8S ribosomal RNA", at positions 35 to 154 of the family's 154-position model. The record is from RNAcentral.